AAACACUGUAGAGAAUUGUGCAGUCAAAGGAGGCCGUGGGGGCACAGUCCUGGCCUUCGUUCCCCGGUCCCAGCUUCGGGGUCGCCCCUGCUCUGGGCUGGCAGGGUUCAGUGGGGACUGUCCUGGCUUGUGACACACAGUACGCACUAUCAUGAUUGCAUUCUUCCACUUUGUGGACCUGGGAAUCGAACUUGGGUUGUCAGCUUGGCAGCAAGUAUCUGUCCCCAAGUCCCCUGACAUGGGCUUUUGGUGUGUGUAUCAGGGGUCUCAUGUAGCCCAGGCUGCCCUGGGUGAUCUAGAAUAACUCUAAACCGACCCUCCUGUCUCCACCUCCCAAAUGGCAGGCCUGCACCACCGACACCUGAUUUCUAUGGCGCGUGGGGGGGGAGCCAGGGCUGUCACAUGCCAGGCUUUGUCUGCCCUCACCCUGGGGUCAGGAGGCUGGGACCGCUUACCUCGCACGGGCACGAAGUCUCCAGGGCCGUCGACCUUGUUGGAGUCGAAAGGGCUGAUGGAGGGGAGGAUGAUCAGGACGAAGGACAGUAGAAGGACCUGCCAGACACGGGCGGGGUCACCCCAUCCUUCCCCCUCCCCUGUGAGCACACCUGGGCGCACAGGCAGGGAGGCUGAGGUCUCGCUAUCAGUGGGUGCAUGAGGCUUUAUUUUAUUUAGAUGGGUGUUUGGUGUAUCGAGACAGUGCCUUGCUGACCUGUGACCCCUGCCUUUGUUUCCUGAGGGUUAUCAACAAGCCUGUCCCCCAUGCCAGGCUCCAAGCCUGUCCCCCAUGCCAGGCUCCAAGACUCCGCUACUAAAGACACAUACGUCCCCCAAUGCCCACUUGGCUGAAGCAAAGCAACCCGCCAUCAUGGGGACGCCGCAGACGCCUGCGUCUGCACUCACCGCUAUGCAGGUGCCCGCGUGGGCAGACUUGCUGGUUGACUGGACCACGAGAGCCUGCAGGUGUCUCAGCUGCUCCAGGAGAGACCUUGCAGGGAGAGGACACCCGCUGAGUCCUGGGGUCCCCUUGCUUACUGACCUUUUCCGGGAUCCCCUGGCCUCUUCCCUGCCUCUCUGGCCCUCAGUUCCUCUGAUCCUGCCACACAGCAGACUCUGCCCUGUCCCAGGCUUUUGCCCAGGCCUUGCCCUCUGUACCAAGGGCAUUGUUUCCACUGUUAUGUGUGUAGCUGGUUCUUGCCCACCCCAUAGGACUUUGUAUAUGCCAAUUCCUCUCUAGCCAACUCCUACACACCCAUCAAAGCCCCGAAUACAAAAUGCCCUCCUUGGUACACGGAGUCUCCUUUCUUGCUCUCCUACAGUCGCUGUGCCAAUGUUUGUCCCUCAAGCCCACAUCCCCAGCCCUCACCCCCACACACCCCAGGGGGACCCGCCCCCAUCUCAACACACACUCACAGAUUUUGCUUUUCUAAAUGCAAGACCUUCCUCUGCAGCUCCUGGUUCUGGGCAGUGCAGGCUGACAUCCUAGAAAGACAAGGACCCAGUGACGUGAGAACACCACCCACCAGGCCCACAGACACCCCCAGGGACACGGUGACACUGAUAACCGCGCAUCUGCAACCAGGGACACAGUGACACUGACAACCGUGCAUCUGUAACGAGGCCAAGUGCCCACAGCAGAAGCAGCCGUCGGGUUCCCUGGCCCUGGUGACACAGCAGCUCUGAACAGCCCGAUGCUGGAGUCAAACGAUCCCUCACGAGAGAGCCACAAGCACGCACCUGCAGCCAUGGAAUCCCCUGCCUCCGUUUCUCCAGACUCCAGUGCCCGGAAGCUGAAGGCCCGACCUCGGCCCUCACCCGGCUAUCCUCCUGCAGCCUGAGGUGCGGCAGAUCUGCCAAGGGUGUCCACCCUGCUGUGCUCUCUACCCAGGGACUUCCUGACACUUUCCAGGUCCCCUUGUCACUCACGCAAAGACUGGGUGCCCUGACCCCCCCAGCUGAGGCGGCCCCUCCUUCAUCUGCAGACAGCAGAGCCUCCUGCCACCUGUCGCCAAGUCUGAUGGACCCAAGUUUGACUCCCGCAACCCCCACAGAGCAGAGCCGAUCUCCUCAGGUGCACGGUCGCCUGCCUGUGCCCACACAGAACCAACCAGUCAAUCACCAGUCAGUCAGUGCCCAGACGGCCCCUCCUUGGACUCCUGGCUCAGCAGGGAGAAACAGUAUGUCCCCAGCUUUGUCAAGCUGUGGGAACUUUGGCCGUCUCCAACUCGGUUUCCCGUGGGAGCGUGCAGCCGUGCACCCGCCUUACCGGUUCUCCAGACCAUCGAUGUACUCUUUUUUCUUCUUCCUGCUUUCCUGA
Molecule: long non-coding RNA, 2314 nt
Organism: Mesocricetus auratus (golden hamster)
Lineage: Eukaryota; Metazoa; Chordata; Mammalia; Rodentia; Cricetidae
Exons: 2
Source: RefSeq, a predicted model, not a curated record